UAUUACUGUUUGUGCUUCGUGGGUGGGUUGCUGGACUAACCAGGGCACUGACCGACAGGAGGUCAGAUACCCUGUUAGUCUGUUUGGAAAAGGGGAGAAAUGUGGCGGAACCAGCCUCGCCACUGGGCAUUGGAGAAGACUGAUUGCCAGCCUCCUGCCAUGUGACUAUGGCCCCUGGGAUGUAUUGCCUGCUCUCCUGUACUGCUGAGGAUUGCUACCAAUUAGGUGGAUUUGGCUAUGGAGCUUGUGUAGUGCCCUCUGUUGGUAGCAACAGUAAUAUGCACUACCUGAAUAGCAAGACUGAUA
This is a non-coding RNA of Pelobates cultripes (western spadefoot toad), 306 nucleotides long. NCBI's taxonomy places the organism in Eukaryota, Metazoa, Chordata, Amphibia, Anura, Pelobatidae. The record is from the annotation of a GenBank genome assembly.